Plectropomus leopardus (leopard coralgrouper) is the source of this 561-nucleotide non-coding RNA. NCBI's taxonomy places the organism in Eukaryota, Metazoa, Chordata, Actinopteri, Perciformes, Serranidae. The record is from RefSeq and is a predicted model, not a curated record.
UACAAAUCACAGAGGACGGUGGUAAAGAUGAAGAUCCAGUCCAGCGCAAACAUGAACGAUCCAGCCCUCAGUGCCGACCUACUGCAGCAGUUGCGUACGGCACUCCGCAAUCAGGGAGUGAUCGACUUCAAACUGACCUGGACGAAACUUCCAGUGAAACAGAAACGUAGCUGUGACGUUUAAAGAUUCGUGUUGACGCUGUGAGAGAAACUCCCAGAAAGAUGCAGGACAGCAUCACUCAAGAGUUAGUGAUAAAGUGAUUAUAGCACUGAAGUUUAGUGAAGAAACAAUAGAAGAAACUGCAUUUUAUACUAUUUUAUAAUAUUUAUUUUCCAUUUAUUCUCUCCCAUAACAAUGAAUGUUGUCAUUGUUCUUGUACUGCUAUACAUAAUGGAUAUAAUAUUUAUGGAUAAGAACAUAAUGGUCAAUAUAUACAUAAAUUACAAAUACAGUAAUAUUAAAAAAUAGAGUAUAAACAAAUGAAUGAAACAUUGAAUUGAUCUGAACAGUUCUUGACCUCGCACAAGCAUACAGAAGUGAAAUAUGGCUUUAAAAAACAAU